AUUGAACGCUGGCGGCAUGCCUUACACAUGCAAGUCGAACGGUAACAGGUCUUCGGAUGCUGACGAGUGGCGAACGGGUGAGUAAUACAUCGGAACGUGCCUAGUAGUUGGGGAUAACUACUCGAAAGAGUGGCUAAUACCGCAUGAGAUCGACGGACGAAAGCAGGGGAUCGCAAGACCUUGUGCUACGAGAGCGGCCGAUGGCAGAUUAGGUAGUUGGUGGGAUAAAAGCUUACCAAGCCGACGAUCUGUAGCUGGUCUGAGAGGACGAUCAGCCACACUGGGACUGAGACACGGCCCAGACUCCUACGGGAGGCAGCAGUGGGGAAUUUUGGACAAUGGGCGAAAGCCUGAUCCAGCAAUGCCGCGUGCAGGAUGAAGGCCUUCGGGUUGUAAACUGCUUUUGUACGGAACGAAAAGCCCCGGGUUAAUACCCUGGGGUCAUGGCGGUACCGUAAGAAUAAGCACCGGCUAACUACGUGCCAGCAGCCGCCGUAA
Molecule: ribosomal RNA, 498 nt
Filed under: uncultured bacterium
Lineage: Bacteria
Description: partial 16S ribosomal RNA
Rfam family: Bacterial small subunit ribosomal RNA
Source: RNAcentral